RNAcentral lists this ribosomal RNA (253 nucleotides) under uncultured bacterium. RNAcentral describes it as "partial 16S ribosomal RNA". It matches the Rfam family "Bacterial small subunit ribosomal RNA", at positions 524 to 776 of the family's 1533-position model. The record is from RNAcentral.
UACGGAGGAUGCAAGCGUUAUCCGGAAUGAUUGGGCGUAAAGGGUCUGCAGGUGGCAUUGUAAGUCUGCUGUUAAAGAGUCCAGCUCAACUGGAUAAAAGCAGUGGAAACUACAAAGCUAGAGUGUGGUCGAGGCAGAGGGAAUUCCUGGUGUAGCGGUGAAAUGCGUAGAUAUCAGGAAGAACACCGGUGGCGAAGGCGGCCUGCUAGGCCAAAACUGACGCUGAGGGGCGAAAGCUAGGGGAGCGAAUGGG